GAUGAACGCUGGCGGCGUGCCUAAUACAUGCAAGUCGAGCGAGCAGAUGAGGAGCUUGCUCCUCUGACGUUAUAGGCGGAGGGGAGAGUAACACGGGGAUAAAAUAACUAUAAGACUGGGAUAAUUUCGGGAAACAGGAGCUAAUACCGGAUAAUAUAUUGAACUUGAUGGUUCAAUAGUUAGAGAAGGUUUUGGUGUGGGUUAUAGAUUGAUACGCGGAGGAUUCACUAGUUGUUAAGGUAGAGGCUUACCAAGGCAACGAGGCUUAACCGACCUGAGCGGGAGAACGGACACACUGGAUCUGAGACACGGCACAGACUCCUACGCGAGGAAGCAGUAGGGAAUCCUCCGCGAGGCGCGAAAGGGUGACGUAGCAACGCCGCGUAAGUCAUGAAGCUCUUCUGAUCGGAAAGCUCUGAUAUUAUUGAAGAUCAAAUGUUUAAGUAACCAUGCUCGUCUUGACGGUACCGAAUCAGAAAGCCACGGCUAACUACGUG
Molecule: ribosomal RNA, 497 nt
Filed under: uncultured bacterium
Lineage: Bacteria
Description: partial 16S ribosomal RNA
Rfam family: Bacterial small subunit ribosomal RNA
Source: RNAcentral